GUAUGAGGCCGUGAACUGUCAACUGAAUCUCACUUCACUCUCUGCUAUUGGGGGCCUGGGGGCCAAAUUCUCCACUGAUAGACAGCCGAUGGGGUGCCAAAAUGACAGCACACUCUUCUCCUCACAGCUCCCUCCCUUCACACUGACUGCAUCCCAAAAGACAAAAUGGGCCCUGGUCAAAACUAGUGCACUAUACAGGGAAUAGAGUGCUAUUUGAGAUGCUACCAGUGCCGGCAGCAGCACUGUGUUCAUGCACAGAUGUGUUAGAAAUGACCAGACAAUCCGAUUUCACCAAAUAUCCCUCCAAAAUGAUUUCAGGUCACCUUCAUUUAUGAGUCUUAGAAGAGAACGUGAUGAAACAAUGAUGAUAAAAUGACACCUGUUAAGAUGAUAACAAUUCAGGAAGAGAGAGAGACGGAGAAAAAGAGGACGAUAAAAAGAGAGUUGGAGGAGACAGACAGACAGGACGUGAGAGGAGUGAAGUUGUUCUUUUGGCACCUCUGGUUGGGCUGAGGGAAUUGUGGGAAGGUUUCUGGAGGGCACUGGCUAAAGACCAUGACAAGAGGUUAAGGGUAAAGGCUUUCAACUCAGAGACGGACAACUUCAAGCUGCCGUACGGGGGCCACCAGUACCACGCCAGCUGUGCCAAUUUCUGGAUUAACUGCGUGGAGCCCAAACCGCCGGGCCUCAUUCUGCCCGACCUGCUCUGAACUGCAGACAACCGCUGCCAUGGCAACGGGCGCCAGGUAAUCAACACCGGCGAGGUGCAACAGCCGGGCUCCCCACCGCACACCUCACACCUUGGGCUGCGAAUACAGAGAUCACAGAGAGACCUCAGAAGUCACUGGAAUCAUCUUUAUUUAUUUGCCUUUUAUUCUCUCUCUUUCUCUCUCAGAGGUACUCUGUGCUCUUUGCAGCGGUGAAGAAGUGCAAAUCUGCUAGUUUGUACAAAUUCAAGGCUUGACACAGUAAAGACUAUUCUGUAUCAUAAUGUAUUGUAAAAUUAUACUUUAUAAAUGGUGUCAUUUUCUCAUUUUUCCUUCUUUUUUUUCCAUUGUCUGGUCUCAUAUACAGUAUAAUGCAAUAGAAGUUACAAGUUGGCAUUUUAGCAUUGAUGCUUAUGCGACUUCUCUGGCAGGAUUUAUUUUGGCAAACAUUAUUCAGAUAAUGAACCAAUGUUGUGCUACGGUAACCCAGAGGAGGUCUAGUCCCUAUGUCAGAGCAGGGGAAAAUGUGGACACUUAUAUGAAUGGGGUAAUGGGUCUCAACGUUUUCUGUAAUGCACUCUUUCUGUGACUCAACAAGUCCAUAACAAACUAUUAAAACUGUGCAAUAUACUACUAAUGAAGGAACUUGGAGACAAACUGAAGUGUAAAGUUAUCUGUCGUUUCCCUUGAUUGUCACUUGUUGCUUUGUUACUGUUUAAUGCUUGAGGGACUGUGUUGGUGUUUCGGUCUUAAAGUAGUAUUUUGUCCUUUGUUCUUCUCGAGUCGGGGUUGUGGUAUCAUCACACUGCUGGAACUGAAUCAAUUUUACGGUCGGGUCUCUAAAAGGAUAGUCUAUGGUUGCUAACAUUUUAAUUCAUAUUUAACUUUUUAGGUAUUGUGUGACAUUAACUGCUUUUUAAUGUCUUUGUAUUGUUUGAAAAGGAUUGCUUUAUCUAAAUGAAUGUUAAUGUGCUGUUUGAAUUUUUUUGUGACAUUGGGACUUGAAAGGGAGUCUUAAUUCUUAAAGAUUGUUGGCUGUGGGUUUUGUUUUUCUGUCUUGCUGUGCCAGUGUAUAUAUACUCACACUGAUGGGGAUGUUUUGGCAGAUCUAAGUCUUGAAUGAAGUCAACUAUGAUUAUGGACUACUAUUGCAGCAGCACUUUGUGUGGAUUACAGUAUCAUAGUGUUGUAAUUACAAUGACUAACUGUAAUGUGAAGUGAUGACAUAUACAUAAAUAAUACAUUGAUGCAUAAAUUAAAUACAUUUCAUGGUCAUUAAUCAAUUAAUCAAUGAAUGUAUUACCUGGAAGCCUAUUACCAU
This 2028-nucleotide long non-coding RNA is filed under the name Salmo salar (Atlantic salmon). RNAcentral's name for it is "lncRNA (ENSSSAG00000082150.1, ENSSSAG00000085360.1)". Lineage: Eukaryota; Metazoa; Chordata; Actinopteri; Salmoniformes; Salmonidae. The record is from RNAcentral.